CCUUCGGGUUAGCGGCGAACGGGUGAGUAACACGUGGGCAACCUGCCCCGAGCUCUGGGAUAACUCCGGGAAACCGGGGCUAAUACCGGAUAUGACACCGACCGACAUCUGUCGGUGUGGAAAGAUUUAUCGGCUCGGGAUGGGCCCGCGGCCUAUCAGCUUGUUGGUGGGGUAACGGCCUACCAAGGCGACGACGGGUAGCCGGCCUGCGAGGGCGACCGGCCACACUGGGACUGAGACACGGCCCAG
This 249-nucleotide ribosomal RNA is filed under the name uncultured bacterium. Its description in RNAcentral is "partial 16S ribosomal RNA". It matches the Rfam family "Bacterial small subunit ribosomal RNA", at positions 84 to 334 of the family's 1533-position model. The record is from RNAcentral.